RNAcentral lists this ribosomal RNA (521 nucleotides) under uncultured bacterium. RNAcentral describes it as "bacterial SSU rRNA". It matches the Rfam family "Bacterial small subunit ribosomal RNA", at positions 487 to 1006 of the family's 1533-position model. The record is from RNAcentral.
GAAGCACCGGCUAACUACGUGCCAGCAGCCGCGGUAAUACGUAGGGUGCGAGCGUUAAUCGGAAUUACUGGGCGUAAAGCGUGCGCAGGCGGUUUUGUAAGACAGGCGUGAAAUCCCCGGGCUCAACCUGGGAACUGCGUUUGUGACUGCAAGGCUAGAGUACGGCAGAGGGGGGUGGAAUUCCACGUGUAGCAGUGAAAUGCGUAGAGAUGUGGAGGAACACCAAUGGCGAAGGCAGCCCCCUGGGUCGAUACUGACGCUCAUGCACGAAAGCGUGGGUAGCAAACAGGAUUAGAUACCCUGGUAGUCCACGCCCUAAACGAUGUCAACUAGGUGUUGGGUGGGUAAAACCAUUUAGUACCGGAGCUAACGCGUGAAGUUGACCGCCUGGGGAGUACGGCCGCAAGGUUAAAACUCAAAGGAAUUGACGGGGACCCGCACAAGCGGUGGAUGAUGUGGAUUAAUUCGAUGCAACGCGAAAAACCUUACCUACCCUUGACAUGUCCAGAAGCCUGAAGAGA